This 413-nucleotide ribosomal RNA is filed under the name uncultured bacterium. RNAcentral's name for it is "bacterial SSU rRNA". It matches the Rfam family "Bacterial small subunit ribosomal RNA", at positions 8 to 419 of the family's 1533-position model. The record is from RNAcentral.
AGAGUUUGAUCCUGGCUCAGAUUGAACGCUGGCGGCACGCCUAACACAUGCAAGUCGAGCGGCAGCGGGAUAUGUAGCAAUACAUAUUGCCGGCGAGCGGCGGACGGGUGAGUAAUACGUAAGAAUCUGCCCUCAAGCGGGGGAUAACUAAUGGAAACGUUAGCUAAUACCGCAUAAUCUCGGAAGAGAAAAGGUGCCCGUAAGGGUGUCACUUGAGGAGGAGCUUGCGUCUGAUUAGCUAGUUGGUGGGGUAAGAGCCUACCAAGGCGAUGAUCAGUAACUGGUCUGAGAGGACGACCAGUCACACUGGGACUGAGACACGGCCCAGACUCCUACGGGAGGCAGCAGUGGGGAAUAUUGGACAAUGGGGGAAACCCUGAUCCAGCGAUGCCGCGUGAGUGAAGAAGGCCUUC